Long non-coding RNA from Acomys russatus (golden spiny mouse), 291 nucleotides. RefSeq lists it as uncharacterized. The transcript is spliced from 3 exons. Lineage: Eukaryota; Metazoa; Chordata; Mammalia; Rodentia; Muridae. The record is from RefSeq and is a predicted model, not a curated record.
GUGUGGGCCCUUACAGAGGUGGUGCAGAUGCGGUGUGGGCCCUUACAGAGGUGGAGCAGAUGCGGUGUGGGCCCUUACAGAGGUGGUGCAGAUGCGGUGUGGGCCUCUACAGAGGUGGAGCAGAUGCGGUGUGGGCCUCUACAGAGGUGGUGCAGAUGCGGUGUGGGCCUCUACAGAGGUGGAGCAGAUGCGGUGUGGGCCCUUACAGAGGUGGAGCAGAUGCGGUGUGGGCCUCUACAGAGGUGGUGCAGAUGCGGUGUGGGCCCUUACAGAGGUGGAGCAGAUGCGGUG